GACGAAUGCUGGCGGCGUGCUUAACACAUGCAAGUCGAACGAGAGCGUAGAGAAAGCUUGCUUUUUCUACAAUCUAGUGGCAAACGGGUGAGUAACGCGUAAACAACCUGCCCUACGGAUGGGGACAACAGCUGGAAACGGCUGCUAAUACCGAAUACGUUCCGAAAGUCGCAUGACUAUCGGAAGAAAGGAUGGCCUCUAUUUAUAAGCUAUCGCCGGAGGAGGGGUUUGCGUCUGAUUAGCUAGUUGGAGGGGUAACGGCCCACCAAGGCGACGAUCAGUAGCCGGUCUGAGAGGAUGAACGGCCACAUUGGAACUGAGACACGGUCCAGACUCCUACGGGAGGCAGCAGUGGGGAAUCUUCCGCAAUGGGCGAAAGCCUGACGGAGCAACGCCGCGUGAGUGAAGACGGCCUUCGGGUUGUAAAGCUCUGUUAUACGGGACGAAUAAUCUUGUGGUUAAUACCCAUGAGAAGUGACGGUACCGUAAGAGAAAGCCACGGCUAACUACGUG
RNAcentral lists this ribosomal RNA (513 nucleotides) under uncultured bacterium. Its description in RNAcentral is "partial 16S ribosomal RNA". It matches the Rfam family "Bacterial small subunit ribosomal RNA", at positions 28 to 507 of the family's 1533-position model. The record is from RNAcentral.